AUGGUUUGGCGAUGAAUCGGUUUUAACAAUUAAAUUUUGUUUCGCGAUUAGUUACUCGAUGUUUCGGAUUUUUCGAACUUAAUUAACAAUUUUAUUAAACGGAAUUACAGUAUGUACUAGAUUGUUUCUUUGACGCAGACGGAUCGACUUGCGAAUGAACAAAGGAAUAAAUGAAUCACCGAAUCUCAAGUUAAUACCGAACCUUAAGUGCAAUACUCUUACAAUACUUUUUAAGUUAAACUCACUGUUUCCAACUAAGACUGACUUCUGACUGCUCUGAAUUAAAACUGAACUCUAACUACUUUCAACACUACUUUCAAUUAAAUUCUAAACAUGGUAAAACUAGCUCUGACUUCAAUUAAAACUGCACUCCAACAACUCUAUUGAGUACUGAAUCUCUAUUUAUAUUCUUCCUAAUUGUCACGUGACCGAUUAUUUCUUUUGUAAUUGUACCAUUACUACGUGACAAUUUAUGAAUUUCGUAACUACCUAUUUCCGCUGGGGUUCUUGUUUUCUUGAUUAUCUCACCCUUUGCUUGGUGUUAAUGACAUACAAGGUGCUUGAAAGAAUGUACAUGUUACAGGUGGUCGUAUUUUGCUGAUGCUGCGUCUGCGUUCUUUCCAUGACCUUCGUUACUGAUACCAGUGGAAUGUGCCGGUCGCGUGGCUGCUUGGCCUUGCUGAGGUUGCAUUUUGUGUGUCCGGUGAUCGGCCUGCUGAUGUCGGUGAAUCGUACGAGGUGCUUGCCGAGUCUUUGCACGUGUUGUAUGCUCUAUUUCUUAUGUUCCCCAAGGUUAUAUUGAAUCAUGGAUACUGACAUGUCUGGAGCUGUAGAGUGUAAGAAAAAGAAAAGGAAUAGAGGGAAGCGCAGGCCGUUCGUACCUCCUGUGGUCGAAGUGGUAGAUACAAAUGCCUGCGCCAAGGUCCGUUUUCCCCAGGAAAUUCCUGAUGGAGUGUUGGAAGCCUAUCUAUUUUUAUUUUAUUUUCCUUCUUACCCUCGUAUAUUAAUUAUAUCUAUAUAUAUGAAUAAUUAACAAUGUUUAAUAAAUUUUAUCAAAGAA
Bombus terrestris (buff-tailed bumblebee) is the source of this 1060-nucleotide long non-coding RNA. RefSeq lists it as uncharacterized. The record is from RefSeq and is a predicted model, not a curated record. The transcript has 3 exons. Lineage: Eukaryota; Metazoa; Arthropoda; Insecta; Hymenoptera; Apidae.